AUUGAACGCUGGCGGCAUGCCUUACACAUGCAAGUCGAACGGUAACGGGCCUUCGGGUGCCGACGAGUGGCGAACGGGUGAGUAAUACAUCGGAACGUGCCCGAUCGUGGGGGAUAACGAGGCGAAAGCUUUGCUAAUACCGCAUACGAUCUACGGAUGAAAGCAGGGGACCGCAAGGCCUUGCGCGGACGGAGCGGCCGAUGGCAGAUUAGGUAGUUGGUGGGAUAAAAGCUUACCAAGCCGACGAUCUGUAGCUGAUCUGAGAGGAUGAUCAGCCACACUGGGGCUGAGACACGGCCCAGACUCCUACGGGAGGCAGCAGUGGGGAAUUUUGGACAAUGGGCGCAAGCCUGAUCCAGCCAUGCCGCGUGCAGGAUGAAGGCCUUCGGGUUGUAAACUGCUUUUGUACGGAACGAAAAGCCUUCUUUUAAUACAGGAGGGUCAUGACGGUACCGUAAGAAUAAGCACCGGCUAACUACGUG
This 482-nucleotide ribosomal RNA is filed under the name uncultured bacterium. Its description in RNAcentral is "partial 16S ribosomal RNA". It matches the Rfam family "Bacterial small subunit ribosomal RNA", at positions 30 to 507 of the family's 1533-position model. The record is from RNAcentral.